RNAcentral lists this ribosomal RNA (520 nucleotides) under uncultured Glomus. RNAcentral describes it as "SSU rRNA". It matches the Rfam family "Eukaryotic small subunit ribosomal RNA", at positions 569 to 1091 of the family's 1831-position model. The record is from RNAcentral. Lineage: Eukaryota; Fungi; Glomeromycota; Glomeromycetes; Glomerales; Glomeraceae.
AGCAGCCGCGGUAAUUCCAGCUCCAAUAGCGUAUAUUAAAGUUGUUGCAGUUAAAAAGCUCGUAGUUGAAUUUCGGGAUCAAUACGUCUGUCGUGCCUUUGGUACGUACGGGUGUAAUUGGUUUCUACCUUCUGAGGAUCCUUGAUGUCAUUAAUUUGGUGUCUUGGGGAAUCAGGACUGUUACCUUGAAAAAAUUGAGUGUUUAAAGCAGGCAUGCGCUUGAAUACAUUAGCAUGGAAUAAUGAAAUAGGACGUUCGAUUCUAUUUUGUUGGUUUCUAGGAUCGACGUAAUGAUUAAUAGGGAUAGUUGGGGGCAUUAGUAUUCAAUUGUCAGAGGUGAAAUUCUUGGAUUUAUUGAGGACUAACUACUGCGAAAGCAUUUGCCAAGGAUGUUUUCAUUAAUCAAGAACGAAAGUUAGGGGAUCGAAGACGAUCAGAUACCGUCGUAGUCUUAACCAUAAACUAUGCCGACUAGGGAUCGGAUGAUGUUAAUUUUUUAAUGACUCAUUCGGCGCCUUAA